CAGCAGGCGCGAAAACUUUACAAUGCUGGCAACAGCGAUAAGGGGACCUCGAGUGCCAGGUUACAAAUCUGGCUGUUGGGAUGCCUAAAAAGCAUUUCAUAGCAAGGGCCGGGCAAGACCGGUGCCAGCCGCCGCGGUAACACCGGCGGCUCGAGUGGUAACCGUUAUUAUUGGGUCUAAAGGGUCUGUAGCCGGCCGGAUAAGUCUCUUGGGAAAUCUGGCAGCUUAACUGUCAGGCUUUCAGGAGAUACUGUCUGGCUCGAGGCCGGGAGAGGUGAGAGGUACUUCAGGGGUAGGGGUGAAAUCUUGUAAUCCUUGAAGGACCACCAGUGGCGAAGGCGUCUCACCAGAACGGACCUGACGGCAAGGGACGAAAGCUAGGGGCACGAACCGGAUUAGAUACCCGGGUAGUCCUAGCCGUAAACGAUACUCGCUAGGUGUCGGCCACGGUGCGACCGUUGUCGGUGCCGUAGGGAAGCCGUGAAGCGAGCCACCUGGGAAGUACGGCCGCAAGGCUGAAACUUAAAGGAAUUGGCGGGGGAGC
RNAcentral lists this ribosomal RNA (544 nucleotides) under uncultured archaeon. Its description in RNAcentral is "bacterial SSU rRNA". It matches the Rfam family "Archaeal small subunit ribosomal RNA", at positions 333 to 877 of the family's 1478-position model. The record is from RNAcentral.